RNAcentral lists this ribosomal RNA (496 nucleotides) under uncultured bacterium. Its description in RNAcentral is "partial 16S ribosomal RNA". It matches the Rfam family "Bacterial small subunit ribosomal RNA", at positions 899 to 1397 of the family's 1533-position model. The record is from RNAcentral.
ACUCAAAGGAAUUGACGGGUCCCCGCACAAGCGGCGGAGCAUGCGGCUUAAUUCGAUGCAACCCGAAGAACCUUACCUAGGUUUGACAUCAUGGGAAAAGCUGUAGAAAUACGGUGUCCGAAAGGGCCCAUGACAGGUGGUGCAUGGCUGUCGUCAGCUCGUGUCGUGAGAUGUUGGGUUAAGUCCCGCAACGAGCGCAACCCUUGUCCUAUGUUGCCAGCGGUUCGGCCGGGGACUCAUAGGAGACUGCCGGGGACAACUCGGAGGAAGGUGAGGACGACGUCAAGUCAUCAUGCCCCUUACACCUAGGGCUGCACGCAUGCUACAAUGGUCGGUACAACGGGCUGCAAUCCAGCGAUGGUGAGCGAAUCCCUCAAAACCGGCCUCAGUUCGGAUUGGAGUCUGCAACUCGACUCCAUGAAGUCGGAGUCGCUAGUAAUCGCGGAUCAGCAAAGCCGCGGUGAAUGCGUUCUCGGGGAUUGCACACACCGCCCGU